UCCGUUGGUGAACGCGGAGGGAUCAUUA
This 28-nucleotide ribosomal RNA is filed under the name Colletotrichum gloeosporioides. RNAcentral's name for it is "partial 18S ribosomal RNA". Lineage: Eukaryota; Fungi; Ascomycota; Sordariomycetes; Glomerellales; Glomerellaceae. The record is from RNAcentral.